Molecule: ribosomal RNA, 441 nt
Filed under: uncultured bacterium
Lineage: Bacteria
Description: partial 16S ribosomal RNA
Rfam family: Bacterial small subunit ribosomal RNA
Source: RNAcentral
CCUACGGGAGGCAGCAGUCGGGAAUAUUGCGCAAUGGAGGAAACUCUGACGCAGUGACGCCGCGUGCAGGAAGAAGGUUUUCGGAUUGUAAACUGCUUUCGACAGGGAAGAAACAAGACAGUACCUGUAGAAUAAGCUCCGGCUAACUACGUGCCAGCAGCCGCGGUAAUACGUAGGGAGCCAGCGUUAUCCGGAUUUAUUGGGUGUAAAGGGUGCGUAGACGGGAAGGCAAGUUGGUUGUGAAAGCCCUCGGCUUAACUGAGGAACUGCAACCAAAACUAUCUUGCUUGAGGGCUGGAGAGGAAAGUGGAAUUCCUGGUGUAGCGGUGAAAUGCGUAGAGAUUAGGAGGAACACCAGUGGCGAAGGCGACUUUCUGGACAGUAACUGACGUUGAGGCACGAAAGUGUGGGGAGCAAACAGGAUUAGAUACCCUGGUAGUC